ACGUGGGGCGGGCUCUGGCUGCGGCUCGGCCAGGCCGCGCUCGCCGCCGCCUCCAUCGCUGUCAUGGCAACCUUCCUGUCUUGUUUGGGAGUUUUGAGUUUCAGCUAUCUGAUUGCGUCGAUGGGAUUGCAAGCGCUGUGGAUCUUGGGACUUGCAUGUCCUGAUGGAUACGUCCUUAAAGUCAAAAGAGGUCUCAACAAUGCUGUUUUAGUGAGCUUAUUUGUUGUCGGAGACUGGGUCACCCAUCCACGAGGAGCAGAAGGAGGGACGCAUCUAGUUGGCCAUCAAGGACCUGCUCUGCUCCUCUUCCUUGACCAUCUGUACCACCACGUUCCCGGGCUUCCAAGGCGCUCCAGCACACCGCCGCCAUGCCUCCUCUGCUCUUCGGGCUUGGACCAAUCGCUCGCCCCUUCAGGUACACACGUCUCCUGCUAU
Molecule: ribosomal RNA, 435 nt
Filed under: Triticum aestivum (bread wheat)
Lineage: Eukaryota; Viridiplantae; Streptophyta; Magnoliopsida; Poales; Poaceae
Description: partial small subunit ribosomal RNA
Source: RNAcentral